GUUUUAUUUUAAUUUUGAAAAUUUUGGACUUGCUUAAAAUAACGUAUUUUUUUUUCGAAUGAAUUUCUCUAAGUUAGGAAGAUAAAUCAAAAAUUUACUAUUGCAGGUCUCUAGUUUAGUCAUUUUUCCUUUUGGAUGAUGUAAAAUUUACAACAUUUGAAAGAAGUUUGUUUAAAGUAUCAGUCAUUUUCCAAACCUCAGCAAUAGUGUUAAAAUAUAUCAAUACAUGGCGAUACAGUUGGCUUAGUGCGAAAUAAAGAACUAAAUAAAGUAACUGAUUAUUUUGGACAGUGCCGAAGCUGAAUUUAAGGUAAAAAAAUAUUUGAAGGACUCAGAAUUGUUAGUAUGCAACAUUUUUUAGACAGUGUAAAGCAAUGAUCAAAUCAUUCCCAAUUAUUUGGAUGUCGCUUUAAUGAAAUAGACAUUAUAAAAGAACAAAAAAGGGGUUAUAAGUAAAAUUGUCUUUUAAUGUAAAAUGUGUCACUACACAGAAACUAUUUCGACUUGUCCAGAACAACCAAAAAAGGUAGAUAUCAAUACUUCUGUUGUCACUGCUGCCAUGAAUUCUGGUAUAGGGUACACGCAAAUACGAACUAUAAUUAGUGCCUUAGAUGUACCACCCUUUAAUUCUACAUUAUAUAAAAAGGUUCAUAAUCAAAUAUGCUCUGCUUGGGAAGUGGCUUGGAAAUCCAAGAAGAGGCAAAAAUGGCUAUAGAAUGUGGUAGUAUUGAUGUUGUUGCUUAUAUCAAUAUCCCCUCUUAUUCUGAGAUAAACAUUAAUAAACCUAAAACAAACUACAGAAAAGUCAUAAUGAGCUGUAUGAAGAAAAAUAAAUUUUUUUUAAAUUAA
This is a long non-coding RNA of Diorhabda sublineata, 849 nucleotides long. RefSeq lists it as uncharacterized. The record is from RefSeq and is a predicted model, not a curated record. Lineage: Eukaryota; Metazoa; Arthropoda; Insecta; Coleoptera; Chrysomelidae. The transcript has 2 exons.